GUCUUUUUGAUUUAAAUAUAAAGUAUAACCUGCCCAUUGAAAAUUUUAAAAGGCUGCGGUAUACUGACCGUACAAAGGUAGCAUAAUCAUUAGUUUUUUAAUUGAGAACUUGUAUGAAUGGUUGAAUGAGAAAUUAACUUUUUUAAUUAAAAUGUUGAAUUUUACAUUUUAAUUAAAAGGUUAAAAUGAUUUUAAAAGACGAGAAGACCCUAUAGAGUUUUAUAAUUUAUAUUUAAUGUUUUAAAAAAAUUAAUAGAUAUCUUAUUUUAAUAAAUUAUUUUAUUGGGGUGAUAAUAAAAUUUACUUAACUUUUAUUUUUUUUUACAUUAAUUUAUGGGAAAUUGAUCCAUUACUAAUGAUUAAAAAAUUAAAUUACCUUAGGGAUAACAGCGUAAUUUUUUUUUUAAGUUCAUAUUAAUAAAAAAUUUUGCGACCUCGAUGUUGGAUUAAGAUUUAAUUUUAGGUGCAGAAGUUUAAAAUUUAAGUCUGUUCGACUUUUAAAUUCUU
RNAcentral lists this ribosomal RNA (507 nucleotides) under Pseudolycoriella teo. RNAcentral describes it as "partial 16S ribosomal RNA". The record is from RNAcentral. Lineage: Eukaryota; Metazoa; Arthropoda; Insecta; Diptera; Sciaridae.